UGGGCCCACACAAAAAAUCCAUCGCGUCGUCACCAUCGUCGCACAAAAAUCCCCAUCUGCGCGGGCGCGAUUCACCCAGGCCACACCGCCGCCUCCACCCACGCUGCACGCCGCCGUUGACUCCGCCCACCGGCGUCCUGCGCCCCUGCGCCCGGCCGAUUCCUCCUCCUCCUUCUGUCCGUCCGCCGCCGUCCGUCCGUCGCCUGCUGACGCCUCCCCUCCUCGGCCAUCGACUCCGCCCGCCGGCUUCCGCUGUGGGCUCCUCCCGUUGCUGGGCUGGAGGAUCGGGAUGGUAGCGGCGGCGGCGACGGCGCUCAACGCCCUCGUGGCGCUCGGAUCCGCCUCGGGGACGGCGUCCAAGUCGUCCUUCGUGAAAUCCAUCGUCAAAGCCCACGAUGUCGUCAUCUUCUCCAAGUCAAAAUCGGAAGGGCUGCUGAAAUUGUUCUGCUAAAGAUGUCACUUGUCCCAGAAAUUGUCCAUUGAAGAGUUUUUUGCUGAUGCUCUUGUAGACUUGUCCAUUAAAGAUGUCACUUGUCCUAGAAAUUGUCCAAUGAAGAAAUUGUCCAUUGUCCAUUGAAGACUUGUCUGUACUCUUGUGUGCAUAUGCUCUAUGCAGAUGCAUAUAUAUAUUGCUAUCCUAGGUGCAACAGAACUGUUUUUUUUUUUACCUGAGAUGCAACAGAUGUUGAAUGCAUAUUGAUAGUCUAUGGAGUCUUGAAUUGCUGAAUGUGUGUUAAAUGUCUAUGGAAUUUGUACUGAUUUUGUGGGUUGAUUUGGUACUGAUCUUAAUUUGUGUA
Oryza sativa Japonica Group (Japanese rice) is the source of this 797-nucleotide long non-coding RNA. RefSeq lists it as uncharacterized. NCBI's taxonomy places the organism in Eukaryota, Viridiplantae, Streptophyta, Magnoliopsida, Poales, Poaceae. The record is from RefSeq and is a predicted model, not a curated record.